UGCAUGAAUAGGAGUAUUCACAGAUAAUUGGCAGUCGUGUCUGGCCAAAUAUCCAGCUUUGUGGUGUGCAAAAACAUAGCUUGCAUGUCCAAAUUAGCUCAAGAAAUUUCCCGUUUCUGAAAAGGUGGGAAGGCUGCCAGCUCUUUCAAAAGGAAAACACACCCUCUUCGAACAUGAAUCAUCACACAUCACAGAGGUCAUACAAUGAAACUUGAAUAAUUGCCUAUGACCUUCCAAAAUAACCCUUUGUUGUUCAUGAGGCCCAACUCUUGACAACCAAGAUCUGCAUGUUCUUUGUUCUCUCAUGCUCAGAAGAAACAGUAGGAUGUUUACCAAUAACAUCGCUACAGGACAGGGCUUGAGAUAGACUGUAAACAGAGGUGCUAAAUAGACAGAACAGAGGAUUCACCCCUGAUUUCAUAGGACACCCUAGAAGGCUGAACUUAGCUCCUGUGGCUAGUUAUUUGUCGGAUGCUCGACUGGUUGACCUCUCCACCCCUGACCAGCUAUUUAUAGUGUAUCUCCUUUUUUUAAGCAAUAAAGACCUCAUCCAACUAGUCCACAGAAAUGGCAAAAUUGACCCCAGGUGGAUAACACAGAGAAGAGAAGUUGGGACAAGUCGUGAAAUUCCUUUAUGACUUUUCUUCGGUCCAGAAUGAACACUGGCUCAUUUUAGAAGCAGUCACAGAAACCUGCCAGAAGCUGAACCGAAAUCAGAGGCAAUCUGACCUGCCAGCAAUUGCGAGAGGGCACCGCAGCCCUUCUUAUUCAUGCUGCAACGGCGUUGAGCCAAUGUUUUUAUUCUUGUGACUGUCAACAUUCAAAUGCACUCCGACAAGAAGGCAGAUCGAGUUCCGUCACCUGGCAAAAGGAGUGGUUUGGCUGGGCGUGACAUGCUUGUAAUCCCUGCUGUUGGGGAGACCUGGGCUGGUGGAUUGCCCCAACCCAGGAAUUCUGAGCUGCAGUGCAUGAAGCUACUCAGUUUCCUCAUCUAUAAAAAUGAGCUGGAAAAGGAAAUGGAAAACCACUCCAGAAUCUCUGCCAAGAAAAUCUCCAAAUGGAGUCAUGAAGAGUUGGACAGAGCUGAAACAACUGAACAACAACAAAUAAAUUGUCAAUGAAUGGAAAUGGUUAGUCAGUAAUUUUU
RNAcentral lists this long non-coding RNA (1147 nucleotides) under Monodelphis domestica (gray short-tailed opossum). RNAcentral describes it as "lncRNA (ENSMODG00000031504.2)". Lineage: Eukaryota; Metazoa; Chordata; Mammalia; Didelphimorphia; Didelphidae. The record is from RNAcentral.